UGCAUGGGCAAUUUGUGUCUACAAUUUUAAGACAAGGGAUUUUCUAAUGGCUUCAAGGAAUUUUUUUUUCCCCUCCAGAUAAAAUGACAAGCUUCCAGCCUUCGGACUUGGAAAGGAAGGGAAGUUACUUAAAUCUAGUAUCUUCCAUAUGCCUGGGGCUAUUUCAAGAACAACAAAUCUCUGCAUGUUUAAAAACAGUGCUGUGGAAAUUAGAGCUACAGGUAAUAUUAUUUUCUCUUCUGGGAAUGCACCCCAUCAAGGGUCAGACUCCACGCUUCCCACCUUCUCCAGUCUCAGGCACUUCCUGGCCUCUGAGGUCAGAAUUCCCAUAAAUUUCAGGACCUGACAUUUUCUCAGGGCAGAGGUGAGACCCAGGAAGAAGAGACCCCACAAUCACAUCUUCAUAAACUCAAACAAAGCAGACUUGCAGGGUUUACAUUUUAAGCCUAUGAAUCUUCUUCGUGAUAGUUCUCAUGUCUCUUGAAAUAAACAAUGUGGGAAGAAAAAUAUUAUGGUCUCUAUUUGCAGCAUUUUGUUCUGAAAAUAACUUGGACAGGAGAGGUGAACCAGUGGUACAUGUGCGGGCAAAGCUCUCUGACUUCACUGCACAAUCGUCUCUUCCUCUUAAACAACCAGCUCCCAGUUACCACAAUACCCCUGUGUACAGAGGAAAGCCAAAAUUAAAAGGUCUCUUUAAUACUCCAGUGGCGAAUUUGGACACUUCACCAAAGAAAAGAGAUGGGUAG
This 746-nucleotide long non-coding RNA is filed under the name Mustela putorius furo (domestic ferret). Its description in RNAcentral is "lncRNA (ENSMPUG00000024876.1)". The record is from RNAcentral. Lineage: Eukaryota; Metazoa; Chordata; Mammalia; Carnivora; Mustelidae.